RNAcentral lists this ribosomal RNA (819 nucleotides) under uncultured bacterium. RNAcentral describes it as "bacterial SSU rRNA". It matches the Rfam family "Bacterial small subunit ribosomal RNA", at positions 66 to 877 of the family's 1533-position model. The record is from RNAcentral.
ACGGCAGCACGGGAGCUUGCUCCUGGUGGCGAGUGGCGAACGGGUGAGUAAUAUAUCGGAACGUAUCCAAUAAUGGGGGAUAACUAAUCGAAAGGUUGGCUAAUACCGCAUACGCCCUGAGGGGGAAAGCUGGGGAUCUUCGGACCUAGCGUUAAUGGAGCGGCCGAUAUCUGAUUAGCUAGUUGGUGGGGUAAAGGCCCACCAAGGCGACGAUCAGUAGCUGGUCUGAGAGGACGACCAGCCACACUGGAACUGAGACACGGUCCAGACUCCUACGGGAGGCAGCAGUGGGGAAUUUUGGACAAUGGGCGCAAGCCUGAUCCAGCCAUUCCGCGUGAGUGAAGAAGGCCUUCGGGUUGUAAAGCUCUUUCGCAAGGGAAGAAACGAUUUAGGUGAAUAAUCUAAGUUAAUGACGGUACCUUGAUAAGAAGCACCGGCUAACUACGUGCCAGCAGCCGCGGUAAUACGUAGGGUGCGAGCGUUAAUCGGAAUUACUGGGCGUAAAGCGUGCGCAGGCUGUUUUGUAAGUCAGAUGUGAAAUCCCCGAGCUCAACUUGGGAACUGCGUUUGAAACUACAAGACUAGAAUAUGUCAGAGGGGGGUAGAAUUCCACGUGUAGCAGUGAAAUGCGUAGAGAUGUGGAGGAAUAUCAAUGGCGAAGGCAGCCCCCUGGGAUAAUAUUGACGCUCAUGCACGAAAGCGUGGGGAGCAAACAGGAUUAGAUACCCUGGUAGUCCACGCCCUAAACGAUGUCAACUAGUUGUUGGUAGAGUAAAAUCUAUGAGUAACGCAGCUAACGCGUGAAGUUGACCGCCUGGG